UCUUCAGUUCUUUCAUCUUUCUUUAAUUCCUUUCUUUUUAGGGGCAAAAUUCGGAAACUUCUAAUUGUUUCUACUAAGACUGCAUUUUUAAGCACUGCACAGCAAUUGUGACUCAGUUAAAUUAAGGGCAUGUAUCGUUAUAAAUACAUUAUAAUCACUGUUCACUGGUCAACCAUAGCAUUAAAACCUGCCUAAUAUUUUUUUGACACCCCUUGUGACUACACUGCCUAUAGCAUCACACUGCCUUUGCUGCGUUGCAUUGAUUCCAUAGUGUAUACUGGUGCCAUCAAGUGACAUGCACCUCAGAUGUCCAGAUGAAGAAAAAAAAUAUCAAUAAUAAACUUGAUUCAUUAGACCAGACCACCUUCUUCCAUUGUUUGAUGGUCCAGUUCCGAUGCUCCCAGUCAGCAUGGGCACUCAGUCCAGUCUGAAACAACACAGCUCUAUGUGCAGCAAGCUGUGAUGGACUGUGUGUUUGAACCCUUUGGUCAUAGACAGCAUUAACUUUUUCAGCAGUAGACCAUAGAUACAGUAGCUUUUCAGUAGGGUAAGACCAAAUUGGUAGUCUCCGUGCCAUGAGUGCAUCAGUGAGCCCAAUCAACAGUUCUCCAGUUGUCCUUUUGGUAUGUACUAACCACUGUAUGCCAAUGUCAAACUCUGUUAAAUCCUUACUCUUACCCAUUUUUAUUGUGUUGAACACAUCCUUGUGAACUGACUGUUCAUUUAUUUCCCUUGUAUACUGAAUGUUGUUCAGUUCACAUAUUAGUGGUUUAAAUGUUUAUAGCUAUCAUUAAGGAUAAACAUAUCUUAUUUCAUCAUUUGAAAAUAAUUCUGCACAUAAAUGAGGGUACUUAAAAAAAAUGACUAAUGUAAAAAAAAAAAAAAAACACAAUUCUGCAUGGUUGUGUUCUUACAGACUAUCCAAUGUUGGCAAAAACCAAAGUGCACCAUAAAUCAAGGAUUGCUUACUUCAGCUUUACAGAGAGCUGUCUUGAACUCGUAUCACAUUUGCCCUGACACCUUUUAGAAACAGUAUGUACACUGGGGGAUCCAACCUUAACAUGAGGAAGGUUCCUCUCAAGGGACAGCAGAAAAAUCUUGACCUGACAUGACAAACUGAAGAGUCUGUUUUGCUCCUGUUCAAAGCCAAGAAAAACGACAGACUGACUGACCGACUGACUUAGUUAAUGCAAGACAAGGAGGGCCUUUGCAAAAGCAUCCUCUUCCAUGGAGUUAAUGCCGUCUGCUUCUAGAGGUGAUAUUUGAAAUCAAUCCGGUAUCACUCUUUCAGAACUUCAUCCUCCAUUCCAGCAUUGUGUUAUUUAGAAAAUCUAUAAUAAAACACUUUUCAGCUGUCAAUUGUUUUGUUUGCUUUAUUUUUAAUUCCAGUUUUGAUAUAAAGAUUAUAGUCAUGUGAUCACAGAAGUUCAGCAGAAUUUUGUACAAAUUAAUGAUUUGUAAUAAAUAAGAUAAAAAGAUGCAUAAUGUUUAA
Long non-coding RNA from Tachysurus fulvidraco (yellow catfish), 1492 nucleotides. RefSeq lists it as uncharacterized. The transcript is spliced from 2 exons. Lineage: Eukaryota; Metazoa; Chordata; Actinopteri; Siluriformes; Bagridae. The record is from RefSeq and is a predicted model, not a curated record.